Megalobrama amblycephala (Wuchang bream) is the source of this 2054-nucleotide RNA transcript. It is a transcript of the gene named translin-associated factor X interacting protein 1, with no coding region annotated. The record is from RefSeq and is a predicted model, not a curated record. The transcript has 14 exons. Lineage: Eukaryota; Metazoa; Chordata; Actinopteri; Cypriniformes; Xenocyprididae.
UUAUUUUAACAUAUAUAAGCGAAUUUUAUGCGACACAUAUAAUGUUUUAGACGACAAGGCGAGUUAUUGUUCAUAAAGGCACGCCGUGGACAGCUAUACACGGAAGGGCUUUUUAAAGGUCCUUCGGUAUCAUGGCAACCAACACUCAAACAACAACAAUGCCACGCCGCUGAAGUUUCAGUUGGACGUACGCUGAUAAAUCUGCUGUGGAAUAUUAUAAAGCUAUUUAUUCGUCCAAAUGUCGCUGAAAGAACUACAAUUGCCACCGUUGUUACACUUUGAAAGCAAUAGCAGAGGAUCGCAGAGACACAUUACCGGCAGGAUAUCCAAGUCAAAGUUUAUAAAAACCAAAAUGGGGGAAACCACCAGUGACUUUUCACCCUGGCCUGCUGAAGUUACCUAUCAAAUUGUCCAAAAGCCUAGAAAAAAAAUACAUCAUGGAUCUCUUGCCAAACCUCAUUUCUUAGAGCAACUGGAGUGUCAUCUGAAGAGAGAAGUCGAAGCUUUAGACACACACGGCCCCAAAGUCCAAGAGCUCAGACUGCAGGUUUACCAGGAGGUCUUUGGCUAUUUAAUUGAAGAAUUUAAAACCUAUAAGCCUAUUUUGUCUGCCAUCAAAAAUGAGUAUGACAUCACAUUAGCGCAUCUUCGUGAACAGAUCAGGGAUCUGCUACCACUGCGGGCAAAGCUAGUGCUUGUGUCGGAACAGUGUGAGCAGACGAUUCUGGAUCUGAAAGUGCAGGAAAGAGAUGAGAUCCGAGCUCUGAAUCAAGAGUGUCAGCAUCUGCAGGACGUCAUCAAGAGUAUGAGAAGACAACAGAGUGCUCUGCAGAUUCAGGUCGAUCAUCUAAAAGAGGAUCUGGCCACCCAGUAUCAGCUAUACAGGGAUGAACGUGAUGCACGAAAGCUGCUCAUCACCAGAAUCAGCACAAUGCACUCUACCCAAGAUACUGAACAUGAUGAUAAUAAUAAAGAGGUGGAAUCUGAGGAUCCUAUGGUGGUGAAAAUGGCUUUGCAGGUGUGUAGAGAGGAUCUUACCAAAGCUCAGGUUGAGCUCAACCGCCUGGAAGCGGAAUACAGUGAUGUCGUCCCUCGACGGGAAUGGGAUAACCUGAAUCGUAUGCAUGAGGAGACUCUAAUGAAGCUGGAAACCUUACAAACAGACUUUGACCAGAUGAAGUCUGAAUAUGACACGCUGCUUGAGGUUCAUCGUCAGUCAUCACCUGCUGUGUUACACUCUAAUCAGUCUGUGCUGCAACAUGGCUCAGAUAACAAACACACUGUAACAACUCCCAGACCAAACUGGGAACAAUGUUCAGACAUACUCGGAGGCAGUGAGAGAUGUAGAGAGCUUUUUGAAGGUCAGUCCAGCCAAAAGAAGCUGGAGAUCUUGCUGCAGGAGAUCAAUGGACAAAAAGAGUUCUUUAUUGGACUUGGCACAUCCAGUGACGUCCCCAUUUAUCUACAAUAUGAGGGAAAAAUUAAGAAUCUUAAGCUCAAGAAAACAGAUGUUAUCAGAGUUAUAAAAGAUAUCUGGAGGAACAAAACAACAGAGAAUGAAAAGAACGAUGUCUCCAGAGACCUGCAGGAGUUUCUUCACAGCUAUCUUGUGGAACAAUAUACAGAUAAGGCAGGAGAUUGGGCUUACAGCUUGAUGGAAAGCAUCCAAAACAAUCUGAAAGAUGAUUUCAUUUGCCUUUUCAAUGACAUCUUGACUGGGAAGGUUUGUGCUUAAUCUAAGUAACCAUUUACCAUAGCAGUACUGAACAAGUAAGUCCAUUGAAAGCAGGGUUUUCAUCUGUUGUAUUUAAUAGGGGCCUCCAAAACUGUCCAAAUAUUUAUUGGGAUAAUUAUAUUCUAACUGAGAUUUGCUGUGUAAUUUUGCUGAGUGUAAUUUUGUGGCAGGUUGAUGAGAGCAUCUACCAUGGACAGACACAGCUGCUGUCUCACUUACUCAAGGUUUUAAUUCAAAGUGACAUAACACAAUGCGGAUCACUAACUGUCACAGAGUUUAGUGAGGCAUUGAAGAAGGCUUUCCCCAUGAAGUCAGAUCA